GAUGAACGCUAGCUACAGGCUUAACACAUGCAAGUCGAGGGGAAACGAUAGAGAAAGCUUGCUUUUUCUAGGCGUCGACCGGCGCACGGGUGAGUAACGCGUAUCCAACCUGCCCAUCACUUGGGGAUAACCUUGCGAAAGUAAGACUAAUACCCAAUGACGUCUCUAGAAGACAUCUGAAAGAGAUUAAAGAUUUAUCGGUGAUGGAUGGGGAUGCGUCGGAUUAGCUUGUUGGCGGGGUAACGGCCCACCAAGGCGACGAUCAGUAGGGGUGCUGAGAUGAAGGUGCCCCACAUUGGAACGGAGACAAGGUCCAAGCUCGUACGGGAGGCAGCAGUGAGGAAUAUUGGUCAAUGGGCGAGAGCCUGAACAAGCCAAGUAGCGUGCGGGAUAACGGCCCUAUGGGUUGUAAACUGCUUUUAUAAGGGAAUAAAGUGAGCCUCGUGAGGCUUUUUGCAUGUACCUUAUGAAUAAGGACCGGCUAAUUCCGUGCCAGCAGCCGCGGUAA
RNAcentral lists this ribosomal RNA (508 nucleotides) under uncultured bacterium. Its description in RNAcentral is "partial 16S ribosomal RNA". It matches the Rfam family "Bacterial small subunit ribosomal RNA", at positions 28 to 523 of the family's 1533-position model. The record is from RNAcentral.